CUCACAUCCGGUCAUUCAAACCGUCUGAUAUCAAUAGCUCAAUAGGCAAACUUAAUUCACAUGUGUCCAUUACCUCGUCCAUUACUGCAUUUUGAAUCACCAAAUUUCUUCUACAGCAUGGCUUACAACUGGUAUUGAAAUUUGAACUAGAAAAAUUGAAGUUCAUGUUGCAAUGAGGGAUGAUAAUUUACUUACCAAAAGUUCUCUUGGAUGAAGGUUUUGCAAUCGGCUACAGCGAUGCAAAGCAAUACAUAACUCAGCAUGAAAAAUUGAAAAUUAGUACAUCAAACCAUGUGCGUUACAUUUUAUUCAAUACAUAUGUCAAUGCAUGGUAGGGGUUGAAAUGGACUUCGUCUACCUAUUUUGAUUUUUAUACUCAAGAUUUGAGCUAUACAUUCAAUCUACCGCAUUGAAAAUAAUAUCAGAAAAAAGAUCAAAUCUGCACAUGUGCUAGCUAACUUGACAUCGUCAUAAGAAAAAGUUUAAAAUGACCGAGGGGCAAUUGCAUUUACUCUUAACAUUAUUAACCAUUUGGUUAAUGCAUGAAGCAGGAAGAAUAAUGAAUAGUCUGAAGUAAUGUAUGAAAGAGUUUAUGAAAAAAUGACAAGUACGUACGUACGUACAAUAGCCCUUAACAUCUCUAUGUAGAAACAGCAUACAUAUUAUGCCAUCAUCAAAUAAUUCGGUGAUUAAAUAAUUAAACAAUUAAUUUCACAGUAGUAGGGAUAAAAAAUUUGAAAAUUUAAGCAAUUUAUUGAAUGAAAAUGUAUUCAUAAAAUUUUGUAACUAUAAUAAAUAUUUCCUUGCCAUGUUACAGGCUUAGAUGGUUUAAAUAGGACAGUACAUAAGUUUAUAUAACAUAAACUACCACUAUCAAUCCUAGAUUUAAUUAGAUUUACAACAUAUUAUUUUUCUUCGUUAAAAUCAUGAGAUAUUCGAUCAAAAUUUUUCACAAUUUGAUAUUGAGUUAACAGUACAAUUGAUGUCAGUCAAUAUUCAAAUUAGAACAACUAUUAAUUAGCUUGAUCGAAUAUGUUGUUUUGAGGCAUAGAUGACAAAAAAAUUUUUCUUCAAUAAAUUAAGUGACUACAAUCUUAGCCAUAUGAUUACAAAGAAAAUAAUCAGUUAAGGCACUUUUUACAUAACUCGCGUAAUAUUUAUAUGGCAACCCUCGCCAAAUACAGCGAUUUCUUGGGCAAAAAUCCUUCAU
Molecule: unclassified non-coding RNA, 1210 nt
Filed under: Athalia rosae (coleseed sawfly)
Lineage: Eukaryota; Metazoa; Arthropoda; Insecta; Hymenoptera; Athaliidae
Description: misc RNA ENSAEAG00005009845.1
Source: RNAcentral